Molecule: ribosomal RNA, 472 nt
Filed under: uncultured bacterium
Lineage: Bacteria
Description: bacterial SSU rRNA
Rfam family: Bacterial small subunit ribosomal RNA
Source: RNAcentral
UGGGGAAUAUUGGACAAUGGGGGCAACCCUGAUCCAGCCAUGCCGCGUGUGUGAAGAAGGUCUUCGGAUUGUAAAGCACUUUAAGUUGGGAGGAAGGGUUGUAGAUUAAUACUCUGCAAUUUUGACGUUACCGACAGAAUAAGCACCGGCUAACUCUGUGCCGGCAGCCGCGGUAAUACAGAGGGUGCAAGCGUUAAUCGGAAUUACUGGGCGUAAAGCGCGCGUAGGUGGUUUGUUAAGUUGGAUGUGAAAUCCCCGGGCUCAACCUGGGAACUGCAUUCAAAACUGACAAGCUAGAGUAUGGUAGAGGGUGGUGGAAUUUCCUGUGUAGCGGUGAAAUGCGUAGAUAUAGGAAGGAACACCAGUGGCGAAGGCGACCACCUGGACUGAUACUGACACUGAGGUGCGAAAGCGUGGGGAGCAAACAGGAUUAGAUACCCUAGUAGUCCCUGAGCGGGCUGGCAAGGCGCAU